CCUACGGGAGGCAGCAGUGGGGAAUAUUUCACAAUGGGGGAAACCCUGAUGCAGCGACGCCGCGUGAGUGAAGAAGUAAUUCGUUAUGUAAAGCUCUAUUAUCAGGGAAGAAAAUGACGGUACCUGAGUAAGAAGCCCCGGCUAACUACGUGCCAGCAGCCGCGGUUAUACGUAGGGGGCAAGCGUUAUCCGGAUUUACUGGGUGUAAAGGGUGCGUUGUCGGCAGUGAAAGUUUGAGGUGAAAGGCGGGUGCUAAACCCACAGACUGUUCUGGAAACUGUUCGGAUUGAGUGCGGGAGAGGUAAGUGGAAUUUCUAGUGUAGCAGUGAAAUGCGUAGAUAUUAGGAGGAACACCGAUAGCGAAGGCAGGUUACUGGGCUGGAACUGACGCUGAGGCACGAAAGCGUAGGGAGCAAACGGGAUUAGAUACCCGAGUAGUC
Molecule: ribosomal RNA, 440 nt
Filed under: uncultured bacterium
Lineage: Bacteria
Description: partial 16S ribosomal RNA
Rfam family: Bacterial small subunit ribosomal RNA
Source: RNAcentral